This 1857-nucleotide long non-coding RNA is filed under the name Homo sapiens (human). RNAcentral's name for it is "HSALNT0253101". Lineage: Eukaryota; Metazoa; Chordata; Mammalia; Primates; Hominidae. The record is from RNAcentral.
GCAGCACCAAAGCCUUGCUGAGUGACGAGAUUUGCUAUCUGCAGGGAAAGUAUUCUUUGGAAGGGCUUCCUGCUGAUUCUGAAUCUCAAAGUUGGUGAGUGAGAAGAGCAGGCUGAGCCCUCUUCACUGCUAUCUGAGGACCAACACCGUGCAACGGGCAGGAUGCUGAGUCCAGGAGGAAUGGGAAGUCCCCCAUUAGUGGGAGGACCAGGUCUGUAACAGACACACAGAUGUGCACACACACAAACACACAGUUAAACACACGAGGAAGUGUUAGAAGGUGCUGGAGGAGGGAGGAGUCAAGUGAGGCCCCAGGAGGUGGUACUGGAGGUGGUCUUGAAGGAUGAGCAGGGGCCCAGGAACAAGGGAGGAUCAAGACUUCCAGUGACAAAUAUCGAGGAGCAGAUGGAGACCAUGGGGAUUGGAGACUUGUGCAGGAAAGGGCGGGAAUUGCACCGGCUGGGAGCAGUUAACAGGGCAAUCAAAGGACCCUGGUUGGUUUCCUUUUCCAAGAAAAUAACUCAUAGCUUGACAGAGGCAGGAUUAGAAGAGGCCAGCCUAGAGUCUGCGGCCCACGUCUACAGAGAUUACAAGGGAGCUGAGCAAAUGGCAGCCUUUGGGGAGAGGAAGAGAUGUUGUCAUAGUGGUCUAGAUAGGACUUGCACACUGGGUACGAGGCCUGAGAGGCCAGUGAAGAUCUUUCUUUUGUGUCCCAAAGUGCUGAAUGAUGGCAGUGAUCCCCCAAAACUAAGUCAACACAAAAAUAAUUCUCCACCAUAAGUCACAUGCAAGGGAGUAUAUCAAAUUUAGCUUCCCAUGAUGAUUAUUUCAUUGCCUUUCAUGAACUAUCCAAAAUCAAAUUAUUUUUUAAAUUAUUUAAUAUAUUUAAUUUAAUAAUUAAUAUAAUUAUAUUUUAAAAAUUAUUUUGAGUUUUUGUGCCAUCCUUGUGCCUUCAACAUUGUAAGUGUGCUUAUGAUGCCCAUUUAAAAUUCAUUUAACAUCAUGUGUCAUCAGAGAACUGUAAAUUAAAACAAUGAGAUACCACUACACAUCUGUUAGAAUGACCAAAAUCCAGAGCGCUGACGACACCAAAUGCCAGUGAGGAUAUGGAGCAACAGGAACUUUCAUUCAUUGCUGGUGGGAAUGCAAACGAUCCAGCUACUUUGGCAGACAGUUUGUCAAUUUCUUAGAAAACUAAACAUACUCUUACCGUAUGAUCUAGCAAUCAUGCUCCUGGCUAUUUACCUAAAUGAGCUGCAAAGUUAAAUCCACACAAAAACCUGCACACAUAUAUUUAUAGCAUUCAUAACUGCCAAAAUCUAAAAGCAACCAAGGAGUCCUUCAGUAGGUGAAUGGAUAAAUAAGCUGCAGUACAAGCAGAAAAUCAAAUAUGAUGCGCUGAUGAAAUAAAUGAGUUAUCAAGCCAUGAAAGACAUAAAUGAAGCUUAAAUGAUUAUUGCUAAAUGAAAAAAGCCAAUCUGAAGAGGAUACAUGCUGUAUGAUUUCCUAGGAAAAAAAUCAGUGGUUGCCAGGAGUUAGUGGGGAGGGUGAGAUGAGUAAAGUGACAUGUAGAGGAAUUGUAGGGCCAUGAAACAGCUUUGUAUCUAUAUCUGUAUCUGUAUCAACUGUAUCUGUAUCUGUAACUGUCACUGUGUCUGUAUCUGUAACUGUCACUGUAUCUGUAUGUGUAUCUGCAACUGUAUAGUAUCUGUAUAUUUAAAACUGUAUCUGUAUUUGAAACUAUAUCUGUGACUGUAACUGUAUCUGUUACUGUAUCUGUAUCAGUAACUGUAUCUGUAACUGUAUGGGUACCUGUAUUUGUAUCUGUAUCUGUAUUUAAAACUGUAUCUAGGCCAG